This 313-nucleotide ribosomal RNA is filed under the name Metaltella sp. CG60. RNAcentral's name for it is "partial 12S ribosomal RNA". Lineage: Eukaryota; Metazoa; Arthropoda; Arachnida; Araneae; Amphinectidae. The record is from RNAcentral.
AGGUAGUAUUUUUAAACAAACCAUCUUAUCUCGACGGCAUUAACCUUAUUAGAGGAACUUGCAAUAUAAUCGAUAAUCCACGAUAAUUUUCACUUUAUUUAUACUUAUAUACCGCCAUCAACCAAGAACAAAUUUAAAAAAUUAUUCUAAAUAAAAAAUAAAAAAUUAGGUCAAGGUGUAGUUAAAUUAAAGAAAUAGUGAGUUACAAUAAAUUUCAUUUAAGGAUAAUAUAUAAAAAUAUAAAUUGGAAAAAGGAUUUAAAAGUAAUAUAUUAGUAUAAUAAUAAUUAUAUAUGAAAAAGAAAAUCUAUGUG